RNAcentral lists this non-coding RNA (31 nucleotides) under Mus musculus (house mouse). The record is from RNAcentral. Lineage: Eukaryota; Metazoa; Chordata; Mammalia; Rodentia; Muridae.
UGAAAAAAUAAUGUGACUCCUCUCUACACAA